Molecule: long non-coding RNA, 244 nt
Organism: Harpia harpyja (harpy eagle)
Lineage: Eukaryota; Metazoa; Chordata; Aves; Accipitriformes; Accipitridae
Exons: 2
Source: RefSeq, a predicted model, not a curated record
GGAUGAGGAGAGCCCAGAGGACAAGCUGAGUCUCUGCCUUUUGGAGUCCUCACCUCUGAAAAGCCCUGCGGAGCAGAUCUGGUCCACGUCGGCGAGUGCCAGGAGAGCCUCUCGGGCACAGAGGCUCCCGAGAGAGAUGUCCAGCAAGAGCCUCCUCCAGCAUGACGAGCGCCAGUGCCGGCCAGCCAGGCUGUUAACACCAAUGCUUCCGUCUGUUCAGUAAAGCCCCAUCUGCAAACCACUG